UGCCAGAAUUUCUCUGUCAGGAAGC
This 25-nucleotide non-coding RNA is filed under the name Mus musculus (house mouse). Lineage: Eukaryota; Metazoa; Chordata; Mammalia; Rodentia; Muridae. The record is from RNAcentral.